RNAcentral lists this ribosomal RNA (800 nucleotides) under uncultured archaeon. RNAcentral describes it as "bacterial SSU rRNA". It matches the Rfam family "Archaeal small subunit ribosomal RNA", at positions 25 to 828 of the family's 1478-position model. The record is from RNAcentral.
AAAAACGAUUGGUCGUCGCUAGCCAUGCGAGUCUAUGGUUUCGGCCAUGGCGGACGGCUCAUUAACACGUGGUUAACUUACCCUCGGGUGGGGCAUAACCUUGGGAAACUGAGGAUAAUUCCCCAUAAGAAAAGGGGUCUGGAACUGUUCUUUUCUGAAAAUAUAUGGCCCCUAGGAUAGGACUGCGCUCGAUUAGGUAGUUGGGGGUGUAAUGGCCCACCAAGCCUACGAUCGAUACGGGCCGUGAGAAAGAGAGCCCGGAGAUGGAGACUGAGACACGGCCCCAGGCCCUACGGGGCGCAGCAGGGGCGAAACCUCCGCAAUGCACGAAAGUGCGACGGGGGGACCCCAAGUGCUCAUGCACAGCAUGGGCUUUUAUCAAGUGUAAACAGCUUGAGGAAUAAGGGCUGGGCAAGUUCGGUGCCAGCAGCCGCGGUAAUACCGACGGCCCGAGGGGUAGCCACUCUUAUUGGGCCUAGGGGGUCCGUAGCCGGUCCAUUAACUCCCUGUUUAAAUCCUGCGGCUUAACCUCAGGACUGGGAGGGAUACUGCUGGACUUGGGACCGGGAGAGGACAAGGGUACUCCAGGGGUAACGGUAAAAUGUGUUGAUCCUUGGAGGACCACCUAUGGCGAACGCACUAGUCUGGAACGGGUCCGACGGUGAGGGACGAAAGCCACGCGCGCUAACCUGAUUAGAUACCCGGGUAGUCCUGGUACUAAACUCUGCGAACUAAGUGUUAGGGAGGCCUCGUGUCUAUCUAGUGCCGAAAGGAAGCCGUUAAAGUUCGCCGCCCUGGGG